CGGGUGGUAAUGCCGGAUGUUCCACAUGAUCGCAUGUGAUUGUGGGAAAGAUUCUAUCGGCGUGGGAUGGGGUCGCGUCCUAUCAGCUUGUUGGUGAGGUAACGGCUCACCAAGGCUUCGACGGGUAGCCGGCCUGAGAGGGCGACCGGCCACAUUGGGACUGAGAUACGGCCCAGACUCCUACGGGAGGCAGCAGUGGGGAAUAUUGCACAAUGGGCGCAAGCCUGAUGCAGCGACGCCGCGUGAGGGAUGGAGGCCUUCGGGUUGUAAACCUCUUUUGUUUGGGAGCAAGCCUUCGGGUGAGUGUACCUUUCGAAUAAGCGCCGGCUAACUACGUGCCAGCAGCCGCGGUAAUACGUAGGGCGCAAGCGUUAUCCGGAUUUAUUGGGCGUAAAGGGCUCGUAGGCGGCUCGUCGCGUCCGGUGUGAAAGUCCAUCGCUUAACGGUGGAUCUGCGCCGGGUACGGGCGGGCUGGAGUGCGGUAGGGGAGACUGGAAUUCCCGGUGUAACGGUGGAAUGUGUAGAUAU
This 528-nucleotide ribosomal RNA is filed under the name Bifidobacterium bifidum. Its description in RNAcentral is "bacterial SSU rRNA". It matches the Rfam family "Bacterial small subunit ribosomal RNA", at positions 157 to 697 of the family's 1533-position model. Lineage: Bacteria; Bacillati; Actinomycetota; Actinomycetes; Bifidobacteriales; Bifidobacteriaceae. The record is from RNAcentral.